Ribosomal RNA from Ipomoea nil (Japanese morning glory), 120 nucleotides. The record is from Rfam. NCBI's taxonomy places the organism in Eukaryota, Viridiplantae, Streptophyta, Magnoliopsida, Solanales, Convolvulaceae.
GGAUGCGAUCAUACCAGCCACUAAUGCACCGGAUCCCAUCAGAACUCCGAAGUUAAGCGUGCUUGGGCGAGAGUAGUACUAGGAUGGGUGACCCCCUGGGAAGUCCUCGUGUUGCAUCCC